Molecule: long non-coding RNA, 209 nt
Filed under: Elaeis guineensis (African oil palm)
Lineage: Eukaryota; Viridiplantae; Streptophyta; Magnoliopsida; Arecales; Arecaceae
Description: long non-coding RNA (EGUI_LNC061887)
Source: RNAcentral
GGGAUCAUCAUGAGGGUGAUGAAGAUCUAGAUAGAUUGGUGCACAAAUCACUUUCUUUGGGAUAGAUGGGUCUCUAAUCUACUGUGUAGAGAUAUAAGGUGACAAGUGCGACUGGUUGUUAGAGAACAACUAGCACUAAGCGUGACCAUAUAAGAGAUCACUUGGAUUUCUAUUCAAUCAUCAGUGAUUGUCUCGAUGCUGUAGUUGUG